This 497-nucleotide ribosomal RNA is filed under the name uncultured bacterium. RNAcentral's name for it is "partial 16S ribosomal RNA". It matches the Rfam family "Bacterial small subunit ribosomal RNA", at positions 28 to 507 of the family's 1533-position model. The record is from RNAcentral.
GACGAACGCUGGCGGCGUGCCUAAUACAUGCCAGUAGAACGCUGAAGCUUGGUGCUUGCCCCGAGCGGAUGAGUUGCGAACGGGUGAGUAACGCGUAGGUAACCUUCCUGGUAGCGGGGGAUAACUAUUUGAAACGAUAGCUAAUACCGCAUAAGAGUAGAUGUUGCAUGACAUUUGCUUAAAAGGUGCAAUUGCAUCACUACCAGAUGGACCUGCGUUGUAUUAGCUAGUUGGUGAGGUAACGGCUCACCAAGGCAACGAUACAUAGCCGACCUGAGAGGGUGAUCGGCCAAACUGGGACUGAGACACGGCCCAGAAUCCUACGGGAGGCAGCAGUAGGGAAUCUUCGGCAAUGGACGGAGGUCUGAACGAGCAACGCCGCGUGAGUGAAGAAGGUUUUCGGAUCGUAAAGCUCUGUUGUAAGAGAAGAACGAGUGUGAGAGUGGAAAGUUCACACUGUGACGGUAUCUUACCAGAAAGGGACGGCUAACUACGUG